AUGGUUCAAUAUCACAAAAGGAUUGUUGGGAUUGAUUUUUGGGAUAAUGGUACCAACAGUUUAGGAAUUAAGGACCAAAAAGGGGCCAAAACCAAGCAUUUAACAAUAACUUGUGUGUAAUUGUCAAGAUCUCUCUGACUUUUUAUUAGAUGUUCCAUAUCACAAAGGGAAGACUGGGAUUAAGUUUUAGGGUAAUUGCUGGAAUCAUGCAGGAAAAAGGGCUAAAAACAAGCUAGUGGUGUAGUUUCCAGACAAUAA
RNAcentral lists this long non-coding RNA (258 nucleotides) under Mytilus galloprovincialis (Mediterranean mussel). The record is from RNAcentral. Lineage: Eukaryota; Metazoa; Mollusca; Bivalvia; Mytilida; Mytilidae.